Paramuricea clavata is the source of this 612-nucleotide non-coding RNA. NCBI's taxonomy places the organism in Eukaryota, Metazoa, Cnidaria, Anthozoa, Malacalcyonacea, Plexauridae. The record is from the annotation of a GenBank genome assembly.
GUGGAAACACUUUGGCCGAUUCUGGAGACAUCGGAGAGGAUGAGGGAUGUCUUCGGUAGUAGGCCGAUUGUUUCAUAUAAGAGACCAAAAAAUUUAAAAGAUAGUUUGGUUAGAUCUAAGGUUAAAAAGGUUAGGGAGGUAAGUGUAGGGAUGAGUAAGUGUAAUAAGAGUCGUUGUCAGAUUUGUAAUUAUGUGGAUGAGGGGAAAGAAUUUCUCGAGGGAAAAGUAAAAUACUACAUUAAUUACAACUUUGAUUGCGAUUCGGCUGGGGUGAUUUAUUUGAUUUAUUGUAGAAAAUGUGGGAAAAAGUAUGUGGGGAGUACAAUUACUAGUUUUAGGAAACGUUUUAACAACCACAAAAGUAGCAUGAAUAGAUAUGGGAGAGGUGAAAGGGGUAUGGCAGGCGAGCAUUUGUAUGCUCAUUUUUUUUAUCAAGGUCAUAAUGGUAUGCAAGAUGUGAAAGUUAAAAUUAUUGAUAAAACUAAUGUUGCAUGUCCCACACAAAGAGAAGGUUUUUGGGCUUAUAAACUGAAUUCGUUUGAACCGCAUGGGUUGAAUUUAAAAGACUUUGUUUGAACAAUAGAGUUAAUCAAGCGAAUUAUUAUAAUUAGG